Sesamum indicum (sesame) is the source of this 889-nucleotide non-coding RNA. Lineage: Eukaryota; Viridiplantae; Streptophyta; Magnoliopsida; Lamiales; Pedaliaceae. The record is from RefSeq and is a predicted model, not a curated record.
UCACUCUUUGAUCCAGACAUGUGUAUGCAAAAGAAGAAUUAAAAAUCAAAGUUUCUCGUUUUAGUUGGUACCUAACGACACAUACUUAUUCAUAAUACCUUCUCACUGUGAAGUCUCUGAAGCUCAUUCUGAAAUUUUAUGUAUUUGCCCUUGUACCACGCGGAAUUGCUUAACCCGCUCUUCUUUCCUUAACUGCAUCUCUCGGAGCGCUGGGGUUAUAGAAUUUAGCUGCUCCUUCAGUGUUCCUGCCAUUUUCUCCGGCUGUCAUGAAUGAAAAGCAACAAGAAUGCGGCCUAUCUUACCCGUCCGGGAAGUGAUCUUUCUCCAAGAGACAGAAGAAGAUGAGUAAAUUCAGCCUCAGAUUCUGCAAGCUGCUGAUGUAGUCGAGCGCGUGAAAUAUUCGCAGUAUCAACUUUCCUUCGGUAAACUUCGAGGCACUCCUGCUCAAGUUCCAGCAGAACCUUUUCCCUCUCAAAUUGGUCUUCUCCUACUUCAUCCCAUAUGAUCUGCCAGAAUUAAUUCAGAAGUUGUCAAUGAGAUUCACAUCCGGAUCCAAAUUCGGGCUUUUUAAGAUCUGGAAUGAAAUGGGAUUCAACCGAACUCGAGUCAAAAACUGGAUUCGGGUCGGAUACAGCAUUCGCACGUGUGAAUUUGGGUCGGGCCCAAUUAAAUUAAUCCGAACACACUGUUGACAGCGCCCACAUCAUGAGGUCCACCCACGGAAGCAAAUACAAAUUUCCGGUUAUAACAACUCAUUUCUCUACAAUUUAUUCUCACUACAAAUAAAAAGCUAUUGCAAACACUGCUUCCAUCUAUCUAAUAAGGUCCUUAAAUCAGCGGAUAGCAGAAAGGGAUGUGCCCUCCAGACCAGCCAGCUUGGGCAUGCAGC